RNAcentral lists this ribosomal RNA (463 nucleotides) under uncultured bacterium. RNAcentral's name for it is "bacterial SSU rRNA". It matches the Rfam family "Bacterial small subunit ribosomal RNA", at positions 39 to 485 of the family's 1533-position model. The record is from RNAcentral.
GGCCGCGGGAAUUCGAUUCAGGCCUAACACAUGCAAGUCGAGCGGUAGAGAGAAGCUUGCUUCUCUUGAGAGCGGCGGACGGGUGAGUAAUGCCUAGGAAUCUGCCUGGUAGUGGGGGAUAACGUUCGGAAACGGACGCUAAUACCGCAUACGUCCUACGGGAGAAAGCAGGGGACCUUCGGGCCUUGCGCUAUCAGAUGAGCCUAGGUCGGAUUAGCUAGUUGGUGAGGUAAUGGCUCACCAAGGCUACGAUCCGUAACUGGUCUGAGAGGAUGAUCAGUCACACUGGAACUGAGACACGGUCCAGACUCCUACGGGAGGCAGCAGUGGGGAAUAUUGGACAAUGGGCGAAAGCCUGAUCCAGCAGGGCCGCGUGUGUGAAGAAGGUCUUCGGAUUGUAAAUCAAUGUAAGUUGGGAGGAAGGGCAUUAACCUAAUACGUUAGUGUUUGACGUACCGACAGA